GACGAACGCUGGCGGCGUGGAUUAGGCAUGCAAGUCGAACGGUAUCAUCCUUUCGGGGGUGAGAGAGUGGCGAACUGGUGAGUAACACGUAGGUUAUCUACCCUCAAGACGGGGACAACCCAGGGAAACUUGGGCUAAUACCGGAUGUGAGCAACUUUUAGUUGUUUGAAAGGUGGCGUAAGCUGUCGCUUGGGGAUGAGCCUGCGUCCUAUUAGUUAGUUGGUGAGGUAACGGCUCACCUAGGCAAUGAUAGGUAGGCGGCCUUAACGGGUGGUCGCCCACACUGGGAUUGAGAUACGGCCCAGACUCCUACGGGAGGCAGCAGUCGAGAAUAGUCUACAAUGGUCGGAAGACUGAUAGUGCGACGCCGCGUGAACGAUGAAUCCCUUCGGGGUGUAAAGUUCUUUUAUAUGUGAGCAGUGCUUCUUAUAUUAACAGUAUGGGGAGAGAGAUAUUAGCAUAUGAAUAAGCAACGGCUAACUCCGUGCCAGCAGCCGCGGUAAUCCG
This 507-nucleotide ribosomal RNA is filed under the name uncultured bacterium. RNAcentral describes it as "bacterial SSU rRNA". It matches the Rfam family "Bacterial small subunit ribosomal RNA", at positions 28 to 527 of the family's 1533-position model. The record is from RNAcentral.